This 253-nucleotide ribosomal RNA is filed under the name uncultured bacterium. RNAcentral's name for it is "partial 16S ribosomal RNA". It matches the Rfam family "Bacterial small subunit ribosomal RNA", at positions 524 to 776 of the family's 1533-position model. The record is from RNAcentral.
UACAGAGGGUGCGAGCGUUAAUCGGAAUUACUGGGCGUAAAGCGCGCGUAGGCGGCUUUGCAAGUCGGGUGUGAAAUCCCCAGGCUUAACCUGGGAACUGCAUUCGAGACUGCAUUGCUAGAGUAUGGGAGAGGGAAGUGGAAUUUCCGGUGUAGCGGUGAAAUGCGUAGAUAUUGGGAAGAACACCUGAGGCGAAGGCGGGUUGCUGGGCUGACACUGACGCUGAGGCGCGAAAGCCAGGGGAGCAAACGGG